UGAGCACUAUCUGUGACUUUUGCAGAAC
This 28-nucleotide non-coding RNA is filed under the name Homo sapiens (human). Lineage: Eukaryota; Metazoa; Chordata; Mammalia; Primates; Hominidae. The record is from RNAcentral.